GAUGAACGCUGGCGGCGUGCCUAAUUCAUGCAAGUCGAGCGAACGGACGAGAAGCUUGCUUCUCUGAUGUUAGCGGCGGACGGGUGAGUAACACGUGGAUAACCUACCUAUAAGACUGGGAUAACUUCGGGAAACCGGAGCUAAUACCGGAUGAUAUUUUGAACCGCAUGGUUCAAAAGUGAAAGACGGUCUUGCUGUCACUUAUAGAUGGAUCCGCGCUGCAUUAGCUAGUUGGUAAGGUAACGGCUUACCAAGGCAACGAUGCAUAGCCGACCUGAGAGGGUGAUCGGCCACACUGGAACUGAGACACGGUCCAGACUCCUACGGGAGGCAGCAGUAGGGAAUCUUCCGCAAUGGGCGAAAGCCUGACGGAGCAACGCCGAGUGAGUGAUGAAGGUCUUCGGAUCGUAAAACUCUGUUAUUAGGGAAGAACAUAUGUGUAAGUAACUGUGCACAUCUUGACGGUACCUAAUCAGAAAGCCACGGCUAACUACGUG
RNAcentral lists this ribosomal RNA (497 nucleotides) under uncultured bacterium. Its description in RNAcentral is "partial 16S ribosomal RNA". It matches the Rfam family "Bacterial small subunit ribosomal RNA", at positions 28 to 507 of the family's 1533-position model. The record is from RNAcentral.